AACGCUGAUUAAUCAAUAGAAAGCCGUAGGAGGACAAUACUGUCAAAAAAGCCCAGACAUCUCAAAUAGAAAUCAGCAGAGCUUCACUCGGCUCACUGGUGCAGUCACAGUGGAAAUGAUAGCAGUUUCAACAGUUACAGCAGCAAAAAUAAUCCCAGAUUUGAAUGGAGGAAGCUUCCUGUUAGGAGCCCGAACAGCAAGCUGAACAGCAAGCCUGAACAUCCGAGUGAGUCUGACUUUUAAAGGACGAUCUUCAACCUCGAGAAGAACAAGGAGUCCUGAAACAGAUGGACGGCCCCCACAGAGCCCUGAUCAACAUUAUGGAGUCAGUCUGGAAUUACACGAGGCAACAGACGGCAGAGAGUGCCUCAACCCUCACAAGCACUCACGCUGAUGAAGACAAACUGUCUUUUUACAUACAACAGCACGAAACUGAGGUUGUUUUAGUGGUAAACAGCUGAGGAAUUCUUGGUUGUGUGCUGCAAAAUAUCUCAAUUCGUGACUGAAUAAAAACUUAAAUUAUUCAGACACAAACAAAUCCUUUAAUCCGCUAAUCCAUCUAAUUUUAUUCUCACCAAACAAAAUUCCCUCCUGUUCAUACCAAAGUAGCAGUUGUGG
Oreochromis aureus is the source of this 618-nucleotide long non-coding RNA. RefSeq lists it as uncharacterized. The transcript is spliced from 3 exons. The record is from RefSeq and is a predicted model, not a curated record. NCBI's taxonomy places the organism in Eukaryota, Metazoa, Chordata, Actinopteri, Cichliformes, Cichlidae.